RNAcentral lists this ribosomal RNA (491 nucleotides) under uncultured bacterium. RNAcentral describes it as "partial 16S ribosomal RNA". It matches the Rfam family "Bacterial small subunit ribosomal RNA", at positions 29 to 507 of the family's 1533-position model. The record is from RNAcentral.
AGUGAACGCUGGCGGCAGGCCUAACACAUGCAAGUCGAACGGCAGCACAAGAGAGCUUGCUCUCUGGGUGGCGAGUGGCGGACGGGUGAGGAAUGCAUCGGAAUCUGCCCAUUUGUGGGGGAUAACCUCGGGAAACCGGGACUAAUACCGCAUACGACCUACGGGUGAAAGCAGGGGAUCUUCGGACCUUGCGCAGAUGGAUGAGCCGAUGCCGGAUUAGCUAGUUGGAGGGGUAAAGGCCCACCAAGGCGACGAUCCGUAGCUGGUCUGAGAGGAUGAUCAGCCACACUGGGACUGAGACACGGCCCAGACUCCUACGGGAGGCAGCAGUGGGGAAUAUUGGACAAUGGGCGCAAGCCUGAUCCAGCCAUGCCGCGUGUGUGAAGAAGGCCUUCGGGUUGUAAAGCACUUUUGUUUGGGAAAGAAAAGCAGCCGGUUAAUACCCGGUUGUCAUGACGGUACCCAAAGAAUAAGCACCGGCUAACUUCGUG